This 469-nucleotide ribosomal RNA is filed under the name uncultured bacterium. RNAcentral's name for it is "bacterial SSU rRNA". It matches the Rfam family "Bacterial small subunit ribosomal RNA", at positions 34 to 498 of the family's 1533-position model. The record is from RNAcentral.
CGCUGGCGGCAUGCUUUACACAUGCAAGUCGAACGGCAGCGCGGGCUUCGGCCUGGCGGCGAGUGGCGAACGGGUGAGUAAUAUAUCGGAACGUACCCAAGAGUGGGGGAUAACGUAACGAAAGUUACGCUAAUACCGCAUACGAUCUAAGGAUGAAAGCAGGGGAUCGCAAGACCUUGUGCUCCUGGAGCGGCCGAUAUCUGAUUAGCUAGUUGGUGGGGUAAAGGCCCACCAAGGCAACGAUCAGUAGCUGGUCUGAGAGGACGACCAGCCACACUGGAACUGAGACACGGUCCAGACUCCUACGGGAGGCAGCAGUGGGGAAUUUUGGACAAUGGGGGCAACCCUGAUCCAGCAAUGCCGCGUGAGUGAAGAAGGCCUUCGGGUUGUAAAGCUCUUUUGUCAGGGAAGAAAAGGCUGCGGCUAAUAUCCGCAGCUGCUGACGGUACCUGAAGAAUAAGCACCGGCU